UUGCGUUUUGAAAAGCACUCGCUUCGUCUUUCCAACAAGACGCGUAGGUUCGGCGCUCCGAUUUGCAUUUAAGCUGUCAUCUUCUCGGAAGCAGGCGCUCAUGCUUGGAGACCUGCAGAGCACGAACUGCAGCAUGUGUGGCGAGCCCGGGAGACAGCAAGAGCCACAGGAGUCCUGGACUAAGGGCGCCUCCCACACAAGCAGAAAGACACCCGCUUUUUCUUUAUUUUUUUAAUAAAUGUUUUUCCUUGUCCUUAUAAUGUUCUUUAAUACAAUGGUUUACCUGACUUGGAGGCAGUUUUAUCUCUGGAGCUCCUAUCUGAAUACAUGGGAAAAGAGAAAUAGUUUUUCUCUGAAGCCAGCAACGGAAUUC
RNAcentral lists this long non-coding RNA (373 nucleotides) under Dermacentor andersoni. RNAcentral describes it as "uncharacterized LOC126534824". The record is from RNAcentral. Lineage: Eukaryota; Metazoa; Arthropoda; Arachnida; Ixodida; Ixodidae.